This 253-nucleotide ribosomal RNA is filed under the name uncultured bacterium. RNAcentral describes it as "partial 16S ribosomal RNA". It matches the Rfam family "Bacterial small subunit ribosomal RNA", at positions 524 to 776 of the family's 1533-position model. The record is from RNAcentral.
UACGGAGGGGGCUAGCGUUGUUCGGAAUUACUGGGCGUAAAGCGCGCGUAGGCGGCUUUGUAAGUUAGAGGUGAAAGCCCAGGGCUCAACCCUGGAAUUGCCUUUAAGACUGCAUCGCUUGAACAUCGGAGAGGUAAGUGGAAUUCCGAGUGUAGAGAUGAAAUUCGUAGAUAUUCGGAAGAACACCAGUGGCGAAGGCGACUUACUGGACGAUUGUUGACGCUGAGGUGCGAAAGCGUGGGGAGCAAACAGG